GAGAGCCGGAUACGCUGGAAGAUGUACGUCCGGUUCGGAGGCGAGUAUUGGGAAACCUAUCUUGGAAAUAAGACAAGGCGCCGGGUACUUAGCCUGC
This 97-nucleotide non-coding RNA is filed under the name Alistipes finegoldii DSM 17242. The record is from RNAcentral. Lineage: Bacteria; Pseudomonadati; Bacteroidota; Bacteroidia; Bacteroidales; Rikenellaceae.